GAAGGCCUCAGAGAACCAGGAAUGGAAGACAGAAGAGAGAUUGCCAGGAACCAUUUCUAAAUUUUAAUUCUUUGAAUGAACAGAAACUGAGAAAGGUUAAGAAAUGUGUCCAGAUGCAUAUAGUUGCUCUAUGGUUCCGAAUGCAAGUGGAGAAAAGGGCAGCCGGCAUGUGGGAAGACUGAAAGGCAAAGCUCA
Molecule: long non-coding RNA, 195 nt
Organism: Piliocolobus tephrosceles (Ugandan red Colobus)
Lineage: Eukaryota; Metazoa; Chordata; Mammalia; Primates; Cercopithecidae
Exons: 3
Source: RefSeq, a predicted model, not a curated record